This 165-nucleotide ribosomal RNA is filed under the name uncultured bacterium. RNAcentral's name for it is "partial 16S rRNA". It matches the Rfam family "Bacterial small subunit ribosomal RNA", at positions 355 to 511 of the family's 1533-position model. The record is from RNAcentral.
UGGGGAAUAUUGGACAAUGGGCGGAAGCCUGAUCCAGCCAUGCCGCGUGUGUGAAGAAGGCCUUUUGGUUGUAAAGCACUUUAAGCGAGGAGGAGGCUACUAGUAUUAAUACUACUAGAUAGUGGACGUUACUCGCAGAAUAAGCACCGGCUAACUCUGUGCCAG